This 493-nucleotide long non-coding RNA is filed under the name Homo sapiens (human). Its description in RNAcentral is "non-protein coding lnc-ALDH3A1-2:3". Lineage: Eukaryota; Metazoa; Chordata; Mammalia; Primates; Hominidae. The record is from RNAcentral.
UGUUUUCUCAAUUCUCCUAUAGACAAAUAUUCAUUGUCUUUAAAUAAAAAUGGACUUCCCCUUUGCCCUGCUACUCUUUUUUCCCUUACCCUGAUUUAUUUUCCUUUAUAAUGCUUAUUGCUACCUGACAUUAUUAUGUUUUUUUUUUGAGAAUGGGAUCUUGCUAUGUUGCCCAGGCAGGUCUCAAACUCCUGGGCUCAAGCUAUUCUCCCGCCUCUGCCUCCCUAAAUGAUGGGAUUCCAGGCAUGAGCUACCACACCUGGCCUUCCAUGACAUCUUGUUCAACAACUCAUGCAAGACCUGAGAGAGUGUUAUGCAGGAGGAUGGGGUGAUAUGCCAGUGGGGACUGCUGGCAGACGUGCUUCAAAUGAAUUCUUGGUGUGUGGAGGGCAGUGUCAGCCUACUGUGUCACCUCACAGCGAAACAGCACCAAUUCCAGUUCCUACUCAAAUAAGGAAUUAUCAGCGCAUAGAGCAGAAUCUUACAUCUACUG